GGACCCGCACAAGCGGUGGAGCAUGUGGUUUAAUUCGAUGCAACGCGAAGAACCUUACCAACCCUUGAAAUCUAGCGAAGUUCACAGAGAUGAGAAUGUGCCUUCGGGAACGCUAUGACAGGUGUUGCAUGGCUGUCGUCAGCUCGUGUCGUGAGAUGUAUGGUUAAGUCCAGUAACGAGCGCAACCCCUAUCCUUAUUUGCCAGCGCGUUAAGGCGGGAACUAUAGGGAGACUGCCGGGUGAAACCCGGAGGAAGGCGGGGACGAGGUCAAGUCAUCAUGGCCCUUAUGGGUUGGGCUACACACGUGCUACAAUGGGAAGUACAGAGAGCAGCCACUACGCGAGUAGGAG
Molecule: ribosomal RNA, 351 nt
Filed under: uncultured bacterium
Lineage: Bacteria
Description: bacterial SSU rRNA
Rfam family: Bacterial small subunit ribosomal RNA
Source: RNAcentral